CACGUAGGGCGCAAGCGUUGUCCGGAAUUAUUGGGCGUAAAGAGCUCGUAGGCGGUCUGUCGCGUCGGCUGUGAAAACCUGGGGCUCAACCCCGGGCCUGCAGCCGAUACGGGCAAGCUAGAAUUCGGUAGGGGAGACUGGAAUUCCUGGUGUAGCGGUGAAAUGCGCAGAUAUCAGGAGGAACACCGGUGGCGAAGGCGGGUCUCUGGGCCGAUAUUGACGCUGAGGAGCGAAAGCGUGGGGAGCGAACAGG
Molecule: ribosomal RNA, 253 nt
Filed under: uncultured bacterium
Lineage: Bacteria
Description: partial 16S ribosomal RNA
Rfam family: Bacterial small subunit ribosomal RNA
Source: RNAcentral